AUAUUUAUAUACAUAUAUGUAUAUUUUUAGUAAAAAAGUAUCUCUAUCUUUCUCUAUAAAAAGAAAAUAUCUUACAAUCAGAUUGUACCUGUAACAAAGGACAUUUUUUAACAGGUUAAGUAAAAGAAAGAUAUAGUUCCUUUUGUAUAUCUAAAGUUCGAUUUGUCAGAUGUACAAUUUACGUUUUCGGUCUACUAACUGGAUUUUAUUAUGCGCACAGAUAAAAGUCGAAUUUUUAUAUGCUCAAAUUUAUCGAAGUCUCGAGAGUAAUAUAAUUCAGUUAGCAGAAUAUUUUAUAUGUAUUAUGUAUAUCGAAUAGUCUUUAUGGAUAUAGUGCAAUUUUGUAGAAAGUAUAGCCAAACAGCUUUCUCAAAAUUGUCAUUUUAUAUGUACGUCGAUAUAAAUAUUAAAUAGCAAUUGUAUAUCUUUUUGUAAAUUGUAAAUAGCGUCAUGGAGUAUAGGUUUUGUGCGUCCGUAAGUCGCUUAUAGGCAUGUAUUAAGUAAAACUGAGCUCUCUUACAAUUGUGUGAGUAUAAAUUAUUCGACUGGGGAAUAUUCGUGAUCGACUGAAUUUUUUGUUGCUUGUAUAUUUCGCGAUAUAUGUUAGCGUUGCGUAUGUCCGAUACGCAACUUUUUUAUCAUAUUGAGAAUGCGAUUUGCAUUCCGUACACACACAUGCACACAUUCCAUGGGACAACGAAGUGAUAGAAAAGUCAUAUACCAGGAUAAUGUUCUGAAAAGUUUCGACUUCAGAACAGCAUCCUGGUAUUCCGAGUCAGGGUGGUCCUCGGAACUAUUGGAAGUCCAGAUGACUGCGUUACAUGUCGGAAAAUCGAUCGUAUUGCAUUUCGAAUGCCCAGGUAUCUCAUCUGGGCAUUUGUAUAUUCAGAUGGAAUGAUGAUCGACGGUAAUGUACGUGUUUGAGGGGACGGACUUUUGAAAGAAUAUAGAAGACUUCGUUCCACGGAAUGGAGGUGAAAAAUCUUUCUUGGAGUGCUUCCUUCUCUAGAUUUAAAAAAAAAAUGGUACAUUACUCAUUCGGGAGCCCGACGAGACUGUUAUCUCCGCAUUUAAUAUCGAAGGGAAGUAAAACUUGCGCGCUCCUCGAUUUACCGUUUCUACUUUCAACAGGGCACGUCUUGCAAAAUUCAGGCGCGAACGUAUUGUAUGCAAAAUCAUGAGAUGCAUAAAUGACAAUCGGACAAGGAAGUAUGGAUUCGUCAAAAUUAAUAAUAAAUUUCAUUGAAAUAUUACUUAUUCAUGUUAUUACGAUGCGAAGGAGUCUCGACUAGAGGAACUGUCGAUGGUGUUUGGCGGAACUUCCAGAUUAAAAAAUAUCUAAUAUAAAAAAACUUAAGAAGGGAAAUAAAAUGUAUAACGUUGUGUAUACUUCAAAUGUUUUUUUUUUACUAUUACUUAAAUGCGAGUCUCGUUGAAAAUGAUAAAGUUGUAUAAAAAUGCAUGCUCACUUUAUAGGGCUGUAAUCAGAAACUUCGCCCAGGUGCAUCUAGAUACUAUUUCAUCCUUGUUUAACAUUCGAUGAAUAACAAGGAUAAAAUAUGUGCUGUGAAUUCCUGAACGCACCCCAGGGUUUAAAAAACAGACGAAGACUUUCUUAUGGAAGGUAUGGAGCUUUCCACAUCCAGAAUUUUGGGUAUUUACAAAUAUUUUAAUUUUUGACAAAUUUUAAGUAAUUUUGAAUAAUAUAUAUAUUUUCUACACACCCACACAU
Molecule: long non-coding RNA, 1732 nt
Organism: Wasmannia auropunctata (little fire ant)
Lineage: Eukaryota; Metazoa; Arthropoda; Insecta; Hymenoptera; Formicidae
Exons: 3
Source: RefSeq, a predicted model, not a curated record